GAUGAACGCUGGCGGCGUGCUUAACACAUGCAAGUCGAACGGAAAGGCUCCUGCUUGCAGGGGUACUCGAGUGGCGAACGGGGGAGUAACACGUGGGUUAUCUGCCAUGCACUUCGGGAUAAGCCUGGGAAACUGGGUCUAAUACCGGAUAGGACGAUGGUUUGGAUGCCAUUGUGGAAAGUUUUUCGGUGUGGGAUGAGCUCGCGGCCUAUCAGCUUGUUGGUGGGGUAAUGGCCUACCAAGGCGUCGACGGGUAGCCGGCCUGAGAGGGUGUACGGCCACAUUGGGCCUGAGAUACGGCCCAGACUCCUCCGGGAGGCAGCAGUGGGGAAUAUUGCACAAUGGGCGGAAGCAUGAUGUAGCGACGCCGCGUGGGGGAUGACGGCAUUCGGGUUGUAAUCUCCUUUCGUUAGGCCCGAAGCGCAAGUGACGGUACCUGGAGAAGAAGCCCCGGCUAACUACGUG
RNAcentral lists this ribosomal RNA (465 nucleotides) under uncultured bacterium. RNAcentral's name for it is "partial 16S ribosomal RNA". It matches the Rfam family "Bacterial small subunit ribosomal RNA", at positions 28 to 507 of the family's 1533-position model. The record is from RNAcentral.